AGCGAACGCUGGCGGCAGGCCUAACACAUGCAAGUCGAACGGAUCCUUCGGGAUUAGUGGCGGACGGGUGAGUAACACGUGGGAACGUGCCUUUUGGUUCGGAACAACUCAGGGAAACUUGAGCUAAUACCGGAUAAGCCCUUCGGGGGAAAGAUUUAUCGCCAUUAGAGCGGCCCGCGUAGGAUUAGCUAGUUGGUGGGGUAAAGGCCCACCAAGGCUACGAUCCGUAGCUGGUCUGAGAGGAUGAUCAGCCACAUUGGGACUGAGACACGGCCCAAACUCCUACGGGAGGCAGCAGUGGGGAAUCUUGCGCAAUGGGCGAAAGCCUGACGCAGCCAUGCCGCGUGAAUGAUGAAGGUCUUAGGAUUGUAAAAUUCUUUCACCGGGGACGAUAAUGACGGUACCCGGAGAAGAAGCCCCGGCUAACUUCGUGCCAGCAGCCGCAGUAA
This 449-nucleotide ribosomal RNA is filed under the name uncultured bacterium. RNAcentral describes it as "partial 16S ribosomal RNA". It matches the Rfam family "Bacterial small subunit ribosomal RNA", at positions 29 to 523 of the family's 1533-position model. The record is from RNAcentral.